GACCUGGUGGUGGAAGGCACCACAUCUAAUUCUUGGGAGCCGGAGAAGUCAGCGGGAGUCGUCGGUUCGAAUCCGGCCCAGAUCG
Mycena galericulata is the source of this 85-nucleotide non-coding RNA. NCBI's taxonomy places the organism in Eukaryota, Fungi, Basidiomycota, Agaricomycetes, Agaricales, Mycenaceae. The record is from the annotation of a GenBank genome assembly.